This is a long non-coding RNA of Siniperca chuatsi (mandarin fish), 3980 nucleotides long. RefSeq lists it as uncharacterized. The record is from RefSeq and is a predicted model, not a curated record. The transcript is spliced from 2 exons. Lineage: Eukaryota; Metazoa; Chordata; Actinopteri; Centrarchiformes; Sinipercidae.
UUAUAGUGUAUUAUAUUUUUUGCUUAGUACUUCUAUUCCUGUGUGCACUGACGUGAUAGUGAGCUGCUGUAACAAAAGAGUUUCCCCUCUGGGAUCAAUAAAGUAUUUCUGAUUCUGAAGGCUGUGGAGGAAAGCUGGGUAAAUAAUAGGCGAAUAUGCAACAUCUGGACCUUAGGCAUGUUCAAUUGAUUAAUAUUAUAGUUAAGACAACAAGAGAUCAGUUGAAAAUAUAUAGAGAAUUUCUUCUUGGAAAAAAGAGCAAUAGCACUGAAUCUUUCCUUGAUAGAAAAGAUGUUUUGUUGUGUUGGUUGCUCCAUCUGAAAGUGAUUGUGUAAGAUACGAUGGUAAAUGGUAAAUGGACACAUUCACACACUGAAGGCACAGCCCUCGGGAACAAUUUGGGUUUCAGUUUCUUGCCCAAGGACACUUCGACAUGUGGGCUGUCUUGAGCUGAAGGAUAAAGGUGAACUGUCCCUUUAACAUGGGCGCUGACGUCACAGCGUGUUGUUGGGGUGUGCAUGAUGACGUCACCCAGAAGAGUGCUGUGUUGACGGAACUGUGGGCAUGACAGGCUGACAUGAGAGUGUUGGAAAGUUUUUCUUUGUUGUCUGUUCUGUGAAAAACAAUUCCUUUUAAUGUUUUUGUAGAGUGGCAACAGUCCGGUCAGAAUUUUAUUAAAGAAGGCUGGUUGUUGGGGGACCUCGCUGGAGUGUGGUGACGCUGCGACCGGCUACAUGUUGUGAGGCUGUAGUGGUCGAGUCGAUGGCAGGGACUGGAGUUGUCCUCAGAGGUGAUGGAGUCAGAGAACUGCAGCGGCGGCAAUGGACUAUCCUUUUCCUCUUUUUUCUGCUGACAGAGGUGGGCAAAGAAGAGACUGUGUAGGGGCUUGCUGGACUCACUUCGUGGACGGCUUUUGGAUCACGGAAAGCAGGGUCUCAGGCACUGAGGUGGCGGAGAAGUUUUCGGCUUCUGUUGCUGGGUCUGCUAUCGAGGGUUGAUGGAAACUUUGAACGUGGACAUCCUGAUUUCGUCCGAAUAAUUCAACGGCCGAUGGGGAUAGUGAGACGAAGUCCAUAUUCGAGAUGAGAUGAUUAAUUAGACUCUGCACCACAACCGGGACCAUCUGAUGCUCCGUGUCACCAUCGUCUCCCACGCACACAGGUGGUGUCUGAUGCAGUCCUGAGUCCUGAGUUUAUGGAAAUUUGAUGUAUCUGGGUGAUGAUCUGAUGAGGGCUUUGAUAACUAAGAGGAACGUGAGACUCACGGAAGACUGGGACACACCUGAUCUGUCUCCUAUCUCCCUUUGGAAAGUUCCUGUGGCCAGGAAUCCGAUUGUGGUGAGUACCUGGACAUGUGGUGAAUGGGGUUGGAUCAGCAUGUUUGUUUGCGGAUUUGCGGCUCUAACAAGUUACAGAUCUGUAGAAGCACGGCCUGUGGUUAUCUAAUCUACAACCAUUCAUCUGUCUCUGCCAAUAUAUCAGCAUGCUGUCUAAAGACGCGCUCUCUUCCAAGGGCCUGACGAGCCAAAGAAGUAAGUCAGCCAUGGUGCGCCUGGUUACACUUGACCUUAUUAUAUACAGAGACAAAUGAACCUUCAAUUAGGGCAUAAUUUAAGUGGUUUUGCAGUUUGAGAUGUUCAUAUUAAUAUUGUGUUAUACAAUAGCAUCAAUAGCCAAUUUAAAUUAAUAAUGAUAUUGUUAGGCUGUAUGAAUACAUUUAGAAUUAUAUUAUGAUUUGAAUUGCAGAAUCAAACAGGAUGUCAACAUAAUUAUGAAGUGUAAUUUAUAUAGUCUAUAUAGUCCUCUUUGUUCAAUUCUUAUUUUGUCACAUAUGUUGUUAUUAGUUUUAUGCUGUUUGUCUGUAUCUCACUGUUAUUGCUGCCUAUCUUGGCUAGAACAAAGAGAGAUUUUUAACCUCAGCAAGGCUUUCCUGGUUAAAUAAAGAUAAAAAAAGAAAAGAAUAACAGACAUGUGGCCUCCUCUUCAUCCCUGUGUUAGUUCUAUUAAAGCCAUGCUGAAUCAGUGCAUUUACUUCCCUUAACUCCUCCAGAGGCUCUGAGCAAGAUUUUCUAAAAACUACUCACAAAACUAUAAGUUUGACCCUGUCUCAACCUCGAAGUCAAACAGCUACUCAGUGUGUGCACUGACAAGACAAUGUGCGCGUGCACACACACACACACACAUAUAUAUAAAGAUGAACAUGUGUACUACAAACACACACAAAAGCAAGAAAACCAGCAAUGCUAACAGCCUUAACCAUUAUGACUCUGAUCCAACACCUCUAUCUAGAUAAGUUUCAUUUUCAAAAUAGAAAGUUAUUUGACUACUUUUUCGUGUUUUAUCUUUUACUUCUAAAACACGGGGUGGCUUUUAUUGUGACAAAGAAUUUUUUUGACAGCAGAUCAGUUGUAAUUGCAGGGAGUAAUGGAACAGUUAGGAGCAGGGACAGUGAGCUGUUAGAUGAAGAGCUGCACACCUCCAACUCCUCAGCAACCUGAGUUUGUUUGGCUGCACUGUAAACAGAUACGCCAGCUACUCUUCUGUUGUAUUUUUGAUGAAAAGUAGUUGCUCAACAAGUAUUAAACUGCACUUGCUGUUACCACUGUAACCAUGGGUGUCGCCAAAUCAAUCAGGUCAGAAAUCUUAAGGAUUAUAACUUUAACAAGACAGAACAAGAAAAUUAACAAGCCCUUCAUCAAAUAUUGUAUGCAAUUGUUUUCAUGGAAUUUAGACUAACCUUGAUUGUUAACAGUGUGACACAGGCGUAAUUUGUUUCACUUCCCAGUUUUCUGUCUAGUUGGGCAAUGUUUCUGUUGGGUAACAUGACAUCAGCUGCUUUAGCAGAGUGAGAAAACAAUUAGCUCAGCUGUUUCAAAGGAACUCUCAAAUUCAGACUCAUUCCAUUUGCCAAUGGCACAUUUGAAGGUCACAACCUCAAAUAUUUAUAAUGACAGGAUCACAUUCUGAACUAUCAGAAUCAGAAAUACUUUAUUGAUCCCCGAGGCCUCUGUGAUCUGUUUGUUCAAUGCCUUCUAUUAAUACCAUAAUACUUCAUUGACUAACAUAAGAUGUGUUGGUUAAAGUGCUGAAUAGUAUCCACUGUAACAAGCAACAACAUUUUCCUUGGGUUACCCAAAGCAAAUAACAUGACAUAUUGUCAUUUUGACACUAUUUUAAUAGUAUUUUAAUAUUUUAAUAGUCAUGUAUAAACCUUUGUGAAACUCUUCAUUUUUGUUGUAGACACUGUGUCAGGAAAGUCUUGAUUCAACACAUUUUCAAAUGUUAAACCACAUUUUACUGUCAACAAAGCUAAAAGAAUUGCAUUGCAACCACAGACUAUAAAAUGCAACAUUUCGUAUUCAACAUUUGUCGUUUUCCACAUUAACUGGUACUUGCUUGUCGUGACAUCUUGGAUUUACCGAGGGAUUUUAAAGUCACGUAUUGCCUGAAACUUCAGGCUUCUGCAAAAACAGCUAGAGGAGAAAAUUAACACAUGUUAACAGUCUCCCUACUUUGUUAUUCAGCUUGACAAAACAAAAAUAUGUCAGUAUUUUAGAGGUAGUCUUCACUGUCAUCUUUACUUUUUUUAUGUGAGAACUUACAGCUCAUGUCAUAACCUUACUGAUGUCCUCAAAAGUUUCUUUGUGAGCUUUUCACAUAAUAAAUAUCUGAUUUCACAAAUUUGACAUAACGUCAUAAAACGAGCCACCCACUAGACGACUUUUUAAAAAUACUUUUAUUGAAAAUAAUUUCUUGCACGAUACAUUUUAUGAAUACACUUAGAUUUAGUUUCAAGCCAUAAAUAUGCAAAAAGAGAACACGAAAAAUUAAAUAUAAUAUCAGGGACUGCUACAGCCAUUUUAAUAACAUCACAAAUAUAAAACGAGCCCAGAAGAGAAGAGAGAAGGCAGUUUUAAUUCGAAAAGAGACUGUAAAAGAAGGUUGGUAUGAAGCAUGCAAUGAAAGGAGUGCGAGUGUGGA